GUUAUCUGAACCUUCGGGGAACGAUAACGGCGUCGAGCGGCGGACGGGUGAGUAAUGCCUAGGAAAUUGCCCUGAUGUGGGGGAUAACCAUUGGAAACGAUGGCUAAUACCGCAUGAUGCCUACGGGCCAAAGAGGGGGACCUUCGGGCCUCUCGCGUCAGGAUAUGCCUAGGUGGGAUUAGCUAGUUGGUGAGGUAAGGGCUCACCAAGGCGACGAUCCCUAGCUGGUCUGAGAGGAUGAUCAGCCACACUGGAACUGAGACACGGUCCAGACUCCUACGGGAGGCAGCAGUGGGGAAUAUUGCACAAUGGGCGCAAGCCUGAUGCAGCCAUGCCGCGUGUGUGAAGAAGGCCUUCGGGUUGUAAAGCACUUUCAGUCGUGAGGAAGGUAGUGUAGUUAAUAGCUGCAUUAUUUGACGUUAGCGACAGAAGAAGCACCGGCUAACUCCGUGCCAGCAGCCGCGGUAAUACGGAGGGUGCGAGCGUUAAUCGGAAUUACUGGGCGUAAAGCGCAUGCAGGUGGUUUGUUAAGUCAGAUGUGAAAGCCCGGGGCUCAACCUCGGAAUAGCAUUUGAAACUGGCAGACUAGAGUACUGUAGAGGGGGGUAGAAUUUCAGGUGUAGCGGUGAAAUGCGUAGAGAUCUGAAGGAAUACCGGUGGCGAAGGCGGCCCCCUGGACAGAUACUGACACUCAGAUGCGAAAGCGUGGGGAGCAAACAGGAUUAGAUACCCUGGUAGUCCACGCCGUAAACGAUGUCUACUUGGAGGUUGUGGCCUUGAGCCGUGGCUUUCGGAGCUAACGCGUUAAGUAGACCGCCUGGGGAGUACGGUCGCAAGAUUAAAACUCAAAUGAAUUGACGGGGGCCCGCACAAGCGGUGGAGCAUGUGGUUUAAUUCGAUGCAACGCGAAGAACCUUACCUACUCUUGACAUCCAGAGAACUUUCCAGAGAUGGAUUGGUGCCUUCGGGAACUCUGAGACAGGUGCUGCAUGGCUGUCGUCAGCUCGUGUUGUGAAAUGUUGGGUUAAGUCCCGCAACGAGCGCAACCCUUAUCCUUGUUUGCCAGCGAGUAAUGUCGGGAACUCCAGGGAGACUGCCGGUGAUAAACCGGAGGAAGGUGGGGACGACGUCAAGUCAUCAUGGCCCUUACGAGUAGGGCUACACACGUGCUACAAUGGCGCAUACAGAGGGCGGCCAACUUGCGAAAGUGAGCGAAUCCCAAAAAGUGCGUCGUAGUCCGGAUUGGAGUCUGCAACUCGACUCCAUGAAGUCGGAAUCGCUAGUAAUCGUGGAUCAGAAUGCCACGGUGAAUACGUUCCCGGGCCUUGUACACACCGCCCGUCACACCAUGGGAGUGGGCUGCAAAAGAAGUAGGUAGUUU
RNAcentral lists this ribosomal RNA (1381 nucleotides) under Vibrio sp. RNAcentral describes it as "bacterial SSU rRNA". It matches the Rfam family "Bacterial small subunit ribosomal RNA", at positions 66 to 1436 of the family's 1533-position model. The record is from RNAcentral. Lineage: Bacteria; Pseudomonadati; Pseudomonadota; Gammaproteobacteria; Vibrionales; Vibrionaceae.